UUUAUGUCAGGAGAGUCCGAUGAAUGUGAAAACCGUACGGGAAAACCUUCCUAAGGGAGAUUUCUCUAUUAUGGCUGAAAUGCUUAAGAAAUUUCUUAAUUUCAUGAACCUGACGUGUUCUGUUGGAACUACAGGACAGAAAUCUAUCUCACGGGUGAUUGAUUUUUUGGAGCACUGUUAGCAGAGGUGUCACAGUUCCCCCUCUUCCGUGGGAUAAAUCUGGACCUGGCAACGUGCCUUAGGCCCUUCAGGACAAGAGGCAGCCGAUCCGGUGGCAAAGGUGGUUAAACGUCGCUACGGUCACGUCACCAAAGUGGCUCGCUGCAGAGACUUUCAUGUUUUUUAGUUUUUUCCUCUCACUUUCUUUUCGCUUGUUUUAAAAUUGUGUUUUAAAAUGCUGUCUCUUUCUCUCAUGCUCACACACGUACACACACACUCAGUUGUGUGUUUGCAUACUAUUUGGUUAUUGAAGCACUGAUCCUCAUGUAAAACAAAAACUAAGCUGUUUUUAAAACAAAAGAAUGAUUUUAAGCUAGUUGUCCUUGUUAGCAGUAUAAAGAUUUAGCCUAAACCUAGUAACUUAUUGAUAUUUCAAACACUGAGGGCUGAGGCUUUGUUCAGACUCGAGAUGCAAAUCCGCUUUGCUUUUCUGACUGUUUACACACGAUGUUUGUUCAAACAGUGCAGUCGGUAUCUGUAAUAUUUACAUUAGUAAAGAUGAUCCCGAGAGACUUUCUUACACAGUUGUAGAAACUGGAAACUUCACCACUGCUCAAGACACAAGCAUUAAGAGGCAUUUUUCGCAUUUAUGCAGUGUUUUUAAAAGAAGUCUCUUAUGCUCACCAAGGCUGCUUUUAUUUUACAGUGAAAACAGUAAUAUUAUGAAAUAUUGUUACAAUUUAAAAUAAGUGUUUUCUAUUUUAAGACAUUUUAAAAAUGAGUCUAUUCCUGUGAUGGUAAAACUGAAUUUUCAGCAGUCAUUACUUUAGUGAGUGUUUUUAACUGAAUGCAUCCUUACUGAAUAAAAGUCUUCUUUUGUUUGAAAAAAGAACUGUUACUGGUCCCAAACAUUUGAACAGCGGAACACAUGCUGUGUGCCAAAUGACAAAACCUUUUGAUUAGAUCCGAGUAGAUGAGUCAAAAAAAAAAAAA
This is a long non-coding RNA of Carassius auratus (goldfish), 1152 nucleotides long. RefSeq lists it as uncharacterized. The record is from RefSeq and is a predicted model, not a curated record. The transcript has 3 exons. NCBI's taxonomy places the organism in Eukaryota, Metazoa, Chordata, Actinopteri, Cypriniformes, Cyprinidae.